AAUAAAUAAAGGUAGCACCCAUGUAUAGAUGUAUAUAUAGAUUCUUAUGGAAUCGAAAGAUUAAACUGCCACGAUUGUUUCAAAUGUAUUCCAGCAAGAGUUAAUUAUAUCCAUAUUACUCAUAUGUCACUGUUACAUUUCAUAAAUUAAAUUGGUACUCAAAGUCUUUGGAUCUCCAGAACCUUGUGCAUGGAUUUCGUGUUAUUCAACUAAAACUAUUCUCCUGUAAGGUACAUCGUUAUAAAUCUUCUCUUAUGUUGGUAUGUAGCCCAUUUGACAACUUUUUCGCACUUCUGACGUUGAAGGUGACAGAAAUGAAGCGUCUGAUCUUUGGCAAAUAUUCUCCUUGUUUUCUCCAGCUAAUUCCUCGGCUAAACAAAAUAUGUACUCCUUUCUGGAUAUUUUCGAUCCGGUGCACUCUUUACAUAAUAUCCACGCGUUUAUCGCUGCCAAAUCUAGAAUAUUGAGAAAAACUUGAAGAGGCCAUCGGAAACUCCCCGCUUUCGCAUUAUAUUUGCGUGCCAUCUGAUCAACGACGUCCACACCAAAAUUUGUUUUUAUUAUAAAAAGCAAUGGUUUCUGGAACACGUUUAUAAUUGUCUUCUAUUUGUAUACCUGUAUGUUUGGUGCUUAGAAGGAGGAUUUUUACGUUAGGUUUACUUAUAUACACAGUAAGCGUGCAGUGUUCUAAUUUAUAUAAAUGUGAGGAAAAUGUCACGUAAAAAAUUUGUUUAAUCUAAGUUACAACGUUACGGUAUUCACGCGAAUCCAAGGAGCGAUUCCGGUGUUCUUUCAUCUCCGACAUAUAUAAAUGUGAGGAAAAUGUCACAUAAAAAACAACUCUCGUGGUAAUAUAUAUAAAAACUUUAUUUCUCAAGAGUCGAAGGCCCUUGAGUACCAAUAUUACAAUGCUACAGUAUCGGCUUAUGAUUCAGACUGGCUCGGCCGUCAUUAUUCGGAGUCUAAAUACUAAGCAAGAGCAAUGAAAACGAUGGAGGGGAUAUUGUUUUUGGAAGUUCCUUAUCAGGGUAGCGAGGUGUUAACUGACCGGAUGAUAUCUAGAGAUGUCAACUGUCCGGAGGAUAUUUAGAGGUAUCAACUGUUCUGAGAAUAUUUAGAGUAGAGGUAUCAACUGUCCGGAGAAUAUUUAGAGGUGGUCGCUUAAGGUGACGUCAGGGUAAAAGAAUUUGGGGUUACCAAAACAAGGUCAUCUUGUCCUUUUUCCCUUGAGUAUUGAGUUUCAUCUUUUCCCAUAUAACCAUACAAAAUAUAUUUUGUUUGGACGUCAACU
This 1291-nucleotide unclassified non-coding RNA is filed under the name Bombus terrestris (buff-tailed bumblebee). RNAcentral's name for it is "misc RNA ENSBTSG00005030610.1". The record is from RNAcentral. Lineage: Eukaryota; Metazoa; Arthropoda; Insecta; Hymenoptera; Apidae.